RNAcentral lists this ribosomal RNA (497 nucleotides) under uncultured bacterium. RNAcentral's name for it is "partial 16S ribosomal RNA". It matches the Rfam family "Bacterial small subunit ribosomal RNA", at positions 28 to 507 of the family's 1533-position model. The record is from RNAcentral.
GAUGAACGCUGGCGGCGUGCCUAAUACAUGCAAGUCGAGCGAACAGAUGAGGAGCUUGCUCCUCUGACGUUAGCGGCGGACGGGUGAGUAACACGUGGAUAACCUACCUAUAAGACUGGGAUAACUUCGGGAAACCGGAGCUAAUACCGGAUAAUAUAUUGAACCGCAUGGUUCAAUAGUGAAAGACGGUUUUGCUGUCACUUAUAGAUGGAUCCGCGCCGCAUUAGCUAGUUGGUAAGGCAACGGCUUACCAAGGCAACGAUGCGUAGCCGACCUGAGAGGGUGAUCGGCCACACUGGAACUGAGACACGGUCCAGACUCCUACGGGAGGCAGCAGUAGGGAAUCUUCCGCAAAGGGCGAAAGCCUGACGGAGCAACGCCGCGUGAGUGAUGAAGGUCUUCGGAUCGUAAAACUCUGUUAUUAGGGAAGAACAAAUGUGUAAGUAACUAUGCACGUCUUGACGGUACCUAAUCAGAAAGCCACGGCUAACUACGUG